RNAcentral lists this ribosomal RNA (253 nucleotides) under uncultured bacterium. RNAcentral describes it as "partial 16S ribosomal RNA". It matches the Rfam family "Bacterial small subunit ribosomal RNA", at positions 524 to 776 of the family's 1533-position model. The record is from RNAcentral.
UACGAAGGCCCCAAGCGUUAUCCGGAAUUACUGGGCGUAAAGCGUCUGUAGGUGGUCUCUUAAGUCUUUCCGUGAAAUUUCGGGGCUCAACCCUGAAUUGCGGGAGAAACUGGGAGACUAGAGUGUGGGAGGGGGAAGCAGAACGGUAAGAGUAGGGGUGCAAUCCGUUGAUACUUACCAGAAUACCAAAAGCGAAGGCAGCUUCCUGGAACACAACUGACACUGAGAGGCGAAAGCGUGGGGAGCAAAAGGG